UACGUAGGGGGCAAGCGUUGUCCGGAUUCAUUGGGCGUAAAGAGCGUGUAGGCGGCCAGGUAGGUCGGUUGUGAAAACUGGAGGCUCAACCUUCAGAGGUCGACCGAAACCAUCUGGCUAGAGUCCGGAAGAGGAGAAUGGAAUUCCUGGUGUAGCGGUGAAAUGCGCAGAUAUCAGGAAGAACACCAAUGGCGAAGGCAGUUCUCUGGGACGGUACUGACGCUGAGACGCGAAAGCUAGGGGAGCAAACGGG
This 253-nucleotide ribosomal RNA is filed under the name uncultured bacterium. RNAcentral's name for it is "partial 16S ribosomal RNA". It matches the Rfam family "Bacterial small subunit ribosomal RNA", at positions 524 to 776 of the family's 1533-position model. The record is from RNAcentral.